UACGUAGGGUGCAAGCGUUAAUCGGAAUUACUGGGCGUAAAGCGUGCGCAGGCGGUUUUGUAAGACAGGGGGGAAAUCCCCGGGCUCAACCUGGGAACUGCCAUUGUGACUGCAAGGCUGGAGUGCGGCAGAGGGGGAUGGAAUUCCGCGUGUAGCAGUGAAAUGCGUAGAUAUGCGGAGGAACACCGAUGGCGAAGGCAAUCCCCUGGGCCUGCACUGACGCUCAUGCACGAAAGCGUGGGGAGCAAACAGG
RNAcentral lists this ribosomal RNA (253 nucleotides) under uncultured bacterium. Its description in RNAcentral is "partial 16S ribosomal RNA". It matches the Rfam family "Bacterial small subunit ribosomal RNA", at positions 524 to 776 of the family's 1533-position model. The record is from RNAcentral.